This 98-nucleotide small RNA is filed under the name Intestinibacter bartlettii. RNAcentral's name for it is "Clostridium bartlettii Guanidine-I sequence". It matches the Rfam family "Guanidine-I riboswitch aptamer". Rfam says of the family: This family represents a conserved RNA structure found upstream of the ykkC and yxkD genes in Bacillus subtilis and related genes in other bacteria. Lineage: Bacteria; Bacillati; Bacillota; Clostridia; Peptostreptococcales; Peptostreptococcaceae. The record is from RNAcentral. RNAcentral also lists the same sequence under 1 other name.
UUUAUGGUUUUCUAUGGUUCCCGUAGUUUGUACUAGCUGGUUCGAGAGAAAACACACAAGUAUAUUUGUGGACACGGAAAGAUAAAAGCUUGGGAGAU